Molecule: ribosomal RNA, 476 nt
Filed under: Staphylococcus chromogenes
Lineage: Bacteria; Bacillati; Bacillota; Bacilli; Caryophanales; Staphylococcaceae
Description: bacterial SSU rRNA
Rfam family: Bacterial small subunit ribosomal RNA
Source: RNAcentral
UUUAUGGAGAGUUUGAUCCUGGCUCAGGAUGAACGCUGGCGGCGUGCCUAAUACAUGCAAGUCGAGCGAACUGACGAGGAGCUUGCUCCUUUGACGUUAGCGGCGGACGGGUGAGUAACACGUGGGUAACCUACCUAUAAGACUGGAAUAACUCCGGGAAACCGGGGCUAAUGCCGGAUAACAUAUCGAACCGCAUGGUUCGAUAGUGAAAGACGGUCUUGCUGUCACUUAUAGAUGGACCCGCGCCGUAUUAGCUAGUUGGUGAGGUAACGGCUCACCAAGGCAACGAUACGUAGCCGACCUGAGAGGGUGAUCGGCCACACUGGAACUGAGACACGGUCCAGACUCCUACGGGAGGCAGCAGUAGGGAAUCUUCCGCAAUGGGCGAAAGCCUGACGGAGCAACGCCGCGUGAGUGAUGAAGGUCUUCGGAUCGUAAAGCUCUGUUGUUAGGGAAGAACAAAUGUGUAAGUAACU